GACGAGGGGUCCUAGCGUUGUUCGGAAUCAUUGGGCGUAAAGCGUGUGUAGGCGGCCAUUCAAGUCAGUUGUGAAAUCCCCGGGCUUAACCCGGGAAGUGCUUCUGAUACUGUUUGGCUUGAGUACUGGAGAGGAUAGUGGAAUUCCUGGUGUAGUGGUGAAAUACGUAGAUAUCAGGAGGAACACCGGUGGCGAAGGCGGAUAUCUGGCCAUGUACUGACGCUGAGACACGAAAGCGUGGGGAGCAAACAGG
This 253-nucleotide ribosomal RNA is filed under the name uncultured bacterium. RNAcentral describes it as "partial 16S ribosomal RNA". It matches the Rfam family "Bacterial small subunit ribosomal RNA", at positions 524 to 776 of the family's 1533-position model. The record is from RNAcentral.